RNAcentral lists this ribosomal RNA (292 nucleotides) under uncultured bacterium. RNAcentral's name for it is "partial 16S ribosomal RNA". It matches the Rfam family "Bacterial small subunit ribosomal RNA", at positions 505 to 796 of the family's 1533-position model. The record is from RNAcentral.
GUGUCAGCCGCCGCGGUAAAACGUAGGACGCAAGCGUUAUCCGGAGUUACUGGGCGUAAAGCGCAAGCAGGCGGUGUCCCAAGUGGGCUGUGAAAGCGCCCGGCUAAACCGGGCGAGGCCAGUCCAGACUGGGAUACUGGAGGACAGCAGAGGCGUGUGGAAUUCCGGGUGGAGUGGUGAAAUGCGUAGAGAUCCGGAGGAACACCAGAGGCGAAGGCGGCACGCUGGGCUGUAACUGACGCUGAGAUGCGACAGCUAGGGGAGCGAACGGGAUUAGAUACCCGUGUAGUCC